RNAcentral lists this small RNA (942 nucleotides) under Pongo abelii (Sumatran orangutan). RNAcentral describes it as "retained intron". Lineage: Eukaryota; Metazoa; Chordata; Mammalia; Primates; Hominidae. The record is from RNAcentral.
AAAGUUUGCACCGACCCCGAUCCGGCAGCACCGCGGAGACCAGCGGUCGCCGGCGCCCGACCCGAGCGCGCCCGGAGGACGGCGGGGAGCCGAGCCGAGCCCCGAGCAGCGCCGCGCGGACUCUGAGGUUCAGAGGGGCAGCUUCAGGGGAGGACACCCCACUGGCCAGGACUCCCCAGGCUCUGCUGCUCUGCCACUCAGCUGCCCUCGGAGGAGCGUGCACACCCACCAGGACUGCAUUGCCCCAGCUGUGCAGCCCCUGUCAGAUGCGGAAGGCAGCUAGCUGCCCAGAGGCAUGCCCCCCUGCCAGCCACGCCGACCCCUGCUGCUGUUGCUGCUGCUGCUGCUGGCCUGCCAGCCACAGGCCCCCUCUGCUCAGGUGAUGGACUUCCUGUUUGAGAAGUGGAAGCUCUACGGCGACCAGUGUCACCACAACCUGAGCCUGCUGCCCCCUCCCACGGGUGAGCCCCCACCCAGAGCCUUUCAGCCUGUGCCUGGCCUCAGCACUUCCUGAGUUCUCCUCAUGGGAAGGUUCCUGGGUACUUAUGCAGCCCUUGAGGACCUCGCCAAGGGGCCCUGUCACUCCUCAGGCCCCCACCCCCAUGGGCAGGUGAGGUAACGAGGUAACUGAGCCACACAGCUGGGGACUUGCCCCAGGCCGCAGAGCCAGGAAGUAACAGAACGGUGGAUUGCCCCAGAACCGGCUGCUGCUGCUGCCCCCGGCCCAGACGGGUAAAACCACCUACAGCCCCAUGGAGUUUUCAGUGGGUAGACAGUGCCAGGGCAUGGAAGGCGGGACCCAGGGGCCUGGGAGGGCUCAGGUGGAGAGUGUAUAUCAUGGCCUGGACACUUGGGGUGCAGGGAGAGGCUAGGGCUGGAGGACUUACCCGGGAGGCGGUGCCUUGGUUCAGACGAGGGAGGCAGCCUCCACCGGGCAGAGGG